RNAcentral lists this long non-coding RNA (1044 nucleotides) under Mus pahari (shrew mouse). RNAcentral describes it as "lncRNA (MGP_PahariEiJ_G0004707.1)". The record is from RNAcentral. Lineage: Eukaryota; Metazoa; Chordata; Mammalia; Rodentia; Muridae.
GCCCCCAAUCCCUGCAUUUCCUGCACAGUCAGGGUGUCCCAGGAAGCUCUGAUGCCUUCCCCUGCAAAAACCCCAGAAUACUCUCAAACAACAGGGAUAGGGUUUCCUGUGGCGCCCUCCACACCCCUCUCUGGACCACCGGAUAGCCUUGAGCUCCCACCACCACUCUCUCCAGCGGCUGGAACCGCCAAAGCCCUGUGUGGCGAGGGGUGCAGAAUCUGCUGCCCGGCGGGUCUGGGCGGGACCUUCUAGGCCGCAGGCACCUCUUGGAAAAAGGAAAGCGAUCCCUCCUUCGGGGACUAAGGUAGAGAGGCGGUAGGAAAAAGAGGGCAGUGGGCGUACGCACUAGCCAGCUGGGAAAGAAAGUGUAGCCUUAGAAGUCUGGGACGCGUUCGGCCCCAGGGGCGGUGAGACAGGCUCCCUCCCCCGCCCCAUACAAGCCCCGCCUGGAUUGCCCGCCUGGGUCUGGAGUGCUGGGGGUCACCUCCCAGCCUCCUGACCCUUGGACUCCACGGUAAGGCGAGAGUGGACCCCGCGUCCGAGGAUCAAACCGGAGCGUGGGCCUCCACUUCUCUGCAGAAAAGCCACGAAGCUGUGUACGGCGUGCACCACGUGCGUGCCUGAUGCCUAAGGAGGCCAGAAGAGUGCAUCACAUUCCCUGAGACUGGAGUUAUAGGUCAGAACCAGAGAGGGACGUUAGAGAUCUGCACAGCUCAGAAGAAGAAAGGGAGGAGAGAAAGGUGGAAUGUCCACACACUGUCUGCCCAUAUUCUCAGGCUAGCUGGGGAUGCUCCUGCCCUGGCAGACAGACUGGCCCCUGGGCCACCAUGAGACAGCAGCAAGUGCCCCACCUCUGAGCACAUGCCCUAAGUGUCUACCUAUGUCCUGAUGAGUCACCCUGGCUACUUACCCACUACCCCUGAAGCUCAUCUGCUGGGUCCCAGCACCUUGGUAUGAUUCACCAUUGUUCUGCAGUUUCUGUCUGAGCCUGGCGUGGGGAAAGAUUGUUGCUUGGCCUUUGUAAGUAAAGAGCUUGCACAUCUC